UCCCAGGUGGCUCAGUGAUAAAGAAUCUGCCUGCCAAGCAGGAGAUGAAAGUUCAAUCCCUUGAUUGGGAA
RNAcentral lists this transfer RNA (71 nucleotides) under Ovis aries (sheep). It matches the Rfam family "tRNA". From Rfam's summary of the family: Transfer RNA (tRNA) molecules are approximately 80 nucleotides in length. Their secondary structure includes four short double-helical elements and three loops (D, anti-codon, and T loops). Lineage: Eukaryota; Metazoa; Chordata; Mammalia; Artiodactyla; Bovidae. The record is from Rfam by way of RNAcentral.